RNAcentral lists this ribosomal RNA (201 nucleotides) under uncultured bacterium. RNAcentral describes it as "partial 16S ribosomal RNA". It matches the Rfam family "Bacterial small subunit ribosomal RNA", at positions 328 to 540 of the family's 1533-position model. The record is from RNAcentral.
ACGCUCGACACCUACGUGAGGCAGCAGUGAGGGAUAUUGCACAAUGGGGGGAACCCUGAUGCAGCGACGCCGCGUGAGGGAAGAAGGUUUUCGGAUUGUAAACCUCUGUCCUCAGUGAAGAAGAUGACGGUAACUGAGGAGGAAGCCACGGCUAACUACGUGCCAANGCGCGGUAAGUACUGAGCGGGCGUGCGAAGGACG